UGUGUCGUCGGCGCAAUCUCUGUGCGCGCCGCGGUGUUGGCAGGGCAAUCCCAGUGUGCGGUUUGAUUUCUUUAAAAAAAAUAAAAAAGCCCAAUCGCCAUUAACGCACCAGUCCAAUCUCUUCCGGUUCAAGGGCCUAUGGAUUUUGUCAAGUGGAAUGCUUCUGUUUUAGACUCGGUCGUUGGAGUCAUGUCCAAGAUUAUCCACAUAUAUACCAGGGUAUAUAGGGAGGAGCAUGCUUAAUAACAUGAAUUAGGUCAAAGUUAAUGCCUUUGAUGUGAGGAUAUUGUGACAUGAUAAUGCGAAGAGUGUGGCCAAGACCUCCACCAACAUCAACAAGAUGUUGGAUGUUCCUAAAACCCAUCGUAUUUUUGGAGGAUUUUGUUGAUAAUAUAAGUCGACUGAUCAUGCAUCGCCUUGUUGAAAUAUCAUUGAACCUUGGAUCUACACUUGGAUACUCAAAUGCAUGCAUUCCAUGUACCAUGUUGAACGGGAUCCCUCCUUCUAACACCGCCUUUUUCAACUUGCUCCUAUAUAGGAAUACAACCAAUUUAAAUAAUUAUAAGAAAAAAAAACCUUGUUUACAUAGAAUUGUAGGGAGAUAUAGAGACGGGCGGAAAAAAAUCAAACACCAAAAACCCAGCCUUAAACGCAUCAGAAUCACCUCAGUUAAAACUUCUAGGAAGGGUCCAAUGAGAGACUCUUCAUAUGCCACCAAGAUUACACAUUCUAAUGACUUGGGAUCAACAUCCCAAUUACAAGCAACCCAAAAAAUAAUCUAGGAUUGGGGCAAACACCUUUAAACACUCUUCUGCAAACAGACGCAGCAGCCUGCACUUUGGCUUCAAAAUCCAUAGGACUUCUAUUCGACUGUAGCAUCUGCAAGACGUUUGCCAUCUGGUUUAAUUUCAUAUACGUUGUUUGCACAAUAAUAUAUAAGAAUGAGAUAUUUGUGGUGGUUCUGUCAAGCUAGACCUUAUCAUUUAAUUAGAUAAAUUAAAGUAGUUUGUAGAAAGAUAUUUGUUUACUUUUAUCCCCAUUCGAUUUUUUCAUUUAUGAAGUAUUUAAUAUAGAAUAAAAUAAAAUUGUGACUGUACAAUCUUAUGUGGUGCUCCAAAAUCUCUGAAAAAAAACUCUCCUUUAUAUGUAUUAGAUGAGUGGCAAAAUAAUUUUACUAA
Long non-coding RNA from Spinacia oleracea (spinach), 1178 nucleotides. RefSeq lists it as uncharacterized. NCBI's taxonomy places the organism in Eukaryota, Viridiplantae, Streptophyta, Magnoliopsida, Caryophyllales, Amaranthaceae. The record is from RefSeq and is a predicted model, not a curated record. The transcript is spliced from 2 exons.